CAGCAGCCGCGGGAAUACGGAGGAUCCAAGCGUUAUCCGGAAUCAUUGGGUUUAAAGGGUCCGUAGGCGGUCUUGUAAGUCAGUGGUGAAAGCCCAUCGCUCAACGGUGGAACGGCCAUUGAUACUGCAGGACUUGAAUUAUUGGGAAGUAACUAGAAUAUGUAGUGUAGCGGUGAAAUGCUUAGAGAUUACAUGGAAUACCAAUUGCGAAGGCAGGUUACUACCAAUUGAUUGACGCUGAUGGACGAAAGCGUGGGUAGCGAACAGGAUUAGAUACCCGAGUAGUCCCUGUCUCUUAUAC
Molecule: ribosomal RNA, 301 nt
Filed under: uncultured bacterium
Lineage: Bacteria
Description: partial 16S ribosomal RNA
Rfam family: Bacterial small subunit ribosomal RNA
Source: RNAcentral